UUUCUGCUUCUGCAUUUCUGCUU
This 23-nucleotide small nuclear RNA is filed under the name Arabidopsis thaliana (thale cress). Its description in RNAcentral is "snRNA_03465". Lineage: Eukaryota; Viridiplantae; Streptophyta; Magnoliopsida; Brassicales; Brassicaceae. The record is from RNAcentral.